UUGGGAGGAAGAUUUUUUUGGGCCUCUUCCCCCACCCCCGCCCUCCGCAUCUUUUCGCGUCCGCAUCCGCCGAUGCCUGGAGACGAGAACGACGACGACGAGGAGGAGGAUGAGGAGGGGGGGGGGAGGAGGAGGAGGUCUCGCUGAAUAUUUAAUCGCGAGCCCGGAUCGAAGCGGCGCACGCGUUUGAUUCAUUAUUGAGACAGCGCCGCCAGCGUGCACAACAACCACCGCUGCCGCUUGUACCACGAACACGCCGACCGGGAUGCCGGGUUCACUCUCCGUGAUGGGGCUGCGAGUAGCCCGGCAGCAAUCCAUGAGAGCCUCAGAGUCGAGCCGCUGCUCCUCCGGAUCUAGAGGAGCCAAGUUAAGCGAGUGGUGAAAUAUGUUCCGUAGCUGCACCCCGGACAGCUCCGGCUGAUACGAAGCCCCGAUUAGUAUGGACACGCUGGUGCGUGCGUGUCAUCUGAAAUCGACCGCGACUGCGGGGCGAGGCGUUGUUCUGGCUCCAGACGAUCAGAGGCGUGCCGGCUGGCUGGUGGACUUCGCACCGAGGCGGCAGGACGACAAUGGGGCGGCGUCAACCCCCGCCGAUCGAUAACGGCGUUCGGCAUCGCGCGACAGCGGAGAUUCCAACGACUCCCCACCACCCACCACACUCCAUCGCUCCCACAGCAAGAUUCCCCGAGCGGGCUGCUUGGGUGCUCGUGCUGUUUGCGAGCACCUAUUGAGCCACACCACGGCGCACGAGCGGCGGUGGUGUGGCCCGAACACCACGCCCAGUCGUCUUUGUCUCCCCGGUGCUGAUUUUGUGUGUGUGCGUUUUUUUUUUUACACUGCAGACGGAUAGUCAAUUAAAGGGCUGCUGAUUCGUUCAAAGUGAGGCCCAGGGCUGGAUGAGAUAUUGGUCACUGAUGUUGGCCCUGAGAGGGGAAUGCAACUCGGAUGGUCCGUGGUUUGCAGCACAGUUGCGCUAACCACCGCGCCUCUCAUCUCUACCUCCACAACAACCGCUCUGCCCUAGGGUCACGAUUCGAUUCGAGGAUCGAUCAUUUUUGUUUUGUUCCGCCCGUUUCGUGGAAUCCUGCCUUGGUUGUAUCGUCUAAUAUGCGUAGACGUUUCGGGAAAUGACCCUUCUGGGCCCUUCUUCGUGCGUGAAAAGUUUCUGCCAAUUGUCCUUCUGCAUUUCCACAAACGUCUCGCCUAUUAUAUAUAUUAUAAAUUG
Long non-coding RNA from Lethenteron reissneri (Far Eastern brook lamprey), 1225 nucleotides. RefSeq lists it as uncharacterized. Lineage: Eukaryota; Metazoa; Chordata; Hyperoartia; Petromyzontiformes; Petromyzontidae. The record is from RefSeq and is a predicted model, not a curated record.